This 479-nucleotide ribosomal RNA is filed under the name uncultured bacterium. Its description in RNAcentral is "partial 16S ribosomal RNA". It matches the Rfam family "Bacterial small subunit ribosomal RNA", at positions 28 to 507 of the family's 1533-position model. The record is from RNAcentral.
GAUGAACGCUAGCGGGAGGCCUAACACAUGCGAGCCGAGCGGUAUUUGUUCUUCGGAACAGAGAGAGCGGCGCACGGGUGCGGAACACGUGUGCAACCUGCCUUUAUCUGGGGGAUAGCCUUUCGAAAGGAAGAUUAAUACCCCAUACUAUAUUGAGUGGCAUCAUUUGAUAUUGAAAACUCCGGUGGAUAGAGAUGGGCACGCGCAAGAUUAGAUAGUUGGUGAGGUAACGGCUCACCAAGUCAAUGAUCUUUAGGGGGCCUGAGAGGGUGAUCCCCCACACUGGUACUGAGACACGGACCAGACUCCUACGGGAGGCAGCAGUGAGGAAUAUUAGACAAUGGGUUAGCGCCUUAUCCAGCCAUCCCGCGUGAAGGACGACGGCCCUAUGGGUUGUAAACUUCUUUUGUAUAGGGAUAAACCUACUCUCGUGAGAGUAGCUGAAGGUACUAUACGAAUAAGCACCGGCUAACUCCGUG